CGGGGGGGUGCUAUAAUGCAAGUCGAGCGGACAGAUGGGAGCUUGCUCCCUGAUGUUAGCGGCGGACGGGUGAGUAACACGUGGGUAACCUGCCUGUAAGACUGGGAUAACUCCGGGAAACCGGGGCUAAUACCGGAUGGUUGUUUGAACCGCAUGGUUCAAACAUAAAAGGUGGCUUCGGCUACCACUUACAGAUGGACCCGCGGCGCAUUAGCUAGUUGGUGAGGUAACGGCUCACCAAGGCAACGAUGCGUAGCCGACCUGAGAGGGUGAUCGGCCACACUGGGACUGAGACACGGCCCAGACUCCUACGGGAGGCAGCAGUAGGGAAUCUUCCGCAAUGGACGAAAGUCUGACGGAGCAACGCCGCGUGAGUGAUGAAGGUUUUCGGAUCGUAAAGCUCUGUUGUUAGGGAAGAACAAGUACCGUUCGAAUAGGGCGGUACCUUGACGGUACCUAACCAGAAAGCCACGGCUAACUACGUGCCAGCAGCCGCGGUAAUACGUAGGUGGCAAGCGUUGUCCGGAAUUAUUGGGCGUAAAGGGCUCGCAGGCGGUUUCUUAAGUCUGAUGUGAAAGCCCCCGGCUCAACCGGGGAGGGUCAUUGGAAACUGGGGAACUUGAGUGCAGAAGAGGAGAGUGGAAUUCCACGUGUAGCGGUGAAAUGCGUAGAGAUGUGGAGGAACACCAGUGGCGAAGGCGACUCUCUGGUCUGUAACUGACGCUGAGGAGCGAAAGCGUGGGGAGCGAACAGGAUUAGAUACCCUGGUAGUCCACGCCGUAAACGAUGAGUGCUAAGUG
RNAcentral lists this ribosomal RNA (800 nucleotides) under Bacillus tequilensis. RNAcentral describes it as "bacterial SSU rRNA". It matches the Rfam family "Bacterial small subunit ribosomal RNA", at positions 37 to 822 of the family's 1533-position model. The record is from RNAcentral. Lineage: Bacteria; Bacillati; Bacillota; Bacilli; Caryophanales; Bacillaceae.